AAAUGGAGGAAGUCUGUGGCCUCUCUAAGAAGCACUAGGCUUUUGCCUGACUCGUUGGAAAGGAAGAAACUUUGCUUGGUGAAACAGGUUCUGCUAAAGCAUUGCUGAAACCUGAACCUUGUGAGAGCAACGCACUCAGCAUAAAAGGGUAUCAUCUGACUCCUUUACAGGAAGUAUCAAACUUUAUCUUUUAAAAAAGAAUUCCUUCAGAAAGACAGUAAAAGAAACUAUGAGACAAGUUCAAUUCAACAAAUUAAAAAAAAAAAAAAAACACAAGAAGCAGCUAUACCAUAGGAUUUUCUUUAUGUAGAUGAAUAUCAUUGAAGAAGAAUGGAUGCUCUCAAAAAAGUACAAUAAGUACCCCCAUUUACUAAAUAGUAUUUCCAGGGAAGUGUGAGAGUGAAAGUAAAUUAAAUUUACUAUAGAAAUGAAAUCUGAUCAGAAUUUUACUUUUGCAAAACAUAUUAAUUCAAAGUCUUUAGCUUAAAAAAAAACUUUAAUUUUGCCAACUCCUAAACUGGACUAAAGAAAAUUAUAUGUGUAUGUGUAUGUACAUAUGUCUGUAUGUAUCUGUACAUGUGUAUAUAUAGAUAAUAGAUAUAAGUAGGAAAGAAAGAAAGAGAGAGAGAGAGAGAGAGAGAGAGAGAGAGAGAGAGAGAGAGAGAGAAAGAAAAAAGAAAGAAGGAAGGAAGGAAGGAAGGAAGGAAGGAAGGAAGGAAGGAAGGAAGGAAGGAAGGAAGGAAAGAAGGAACACCAAUGUUCUUACAAUUUUGCUAUUUAGAGGACUUUACUAAUGUCUUCCAACAAAAUAAAUCUAUAUAAAUCACUAAAUACUAUAAAUGAUCAAAUAAAUAUAAAGUAUUAUAUUAGUCUAUAGACAACUCCAGAUUACAAAAAUGUUAAAACUAUGUUUUAUGUUAUGAUUUAGAUAGCUUUUAAGCAACCCAUUAACUAGAAAAUGUGUUCCUUUCUUAAAAAUAAAAAUUUGCAUUAAGACCUUUACUAAAUUAAAUUCUUCCAUCUGCAUAGCCACAUAUCUUUAUAUAACCUUUUUUUUUCUAUUUUGCAGGAAACACAAAUAUCAAGAAAGAAAAAACUUGUGAUUUGAAUUUCUUAUUCUUUAUGCUCUAAAUACUGAAAAGUAGCUACAGGAUUAUAUGUUGUUAAUGCUAAUCGUGAUAGGGGUUUUUCUCUUUUAUUUCUGACUGACUCCUACAUGUUAGCAUUAACAGUAUAUAGCCCAUUAUCAGCAUUCACAUGAAACGAGUUCCUGCUAUGGAAGGAUGAUAGAAGAAUGUGAGUCACCCUACUGGAAAAACAUAACUAAUGUAUUUUUAUUUGUAUUUUUAACCAUAGCUUAUUCAUUGAGAUACACCAGUCUGAAAUUACAAAAUUGUUAUUUUUAAAGUCUUUAAAUCAUGAUUAUCAAAACAUUAUAUUUUCCUCAAAAAGAAAAUAGAAAAACAUAAUACAAAUCAAUGUUUCUAAAUCUGUUUUCCUGGGAGGUUUUCUUUUUUGGAAUAAUAUGAUAACACAACAAUUUUAGUGAAUACUAUUACAAUUCAGCUAGUAUAUGAUUAAAAACACUGUAAAACAUUUUAGUAAUUUAAUUUUCACUUAAGAAAUUAGAAGCCCUAAUUGCCUUCAGGUCAAGAAUGGAUAGAUAUCUAGUUCUAUGUUUUAUGAUUUUUCCAUCUACAUUUUUUAAAAGUUCAAAAUUUUGUUUCCCCCUUAAUUUCUUAACUUCCUAUUUUAUUUUUUAAAAUGCAAAGCAAUGACUUUCAAUUAUUCAACAGAUUUAAAAGAGUGAAGAAUGUUAAAGUUAAAUAUUUGGUAUAAUUAUUUCAGUAUAAAUAAGAUUUACCUUUAAAGGCACAAAGACAAAUUUAUAGGUAAUUUGUAAAAGCAUUAGGUAAUGAAUGAAAGUAAUGAGCAAAGAAAAGCUUUCCAGAUUAAUCAUCUUCUAGUUGUGGGCCAAUAGAUCUGGUCUCACCAUAUUUUUGCUGCACCUGACCUUUCUUUUAAAAUGUCUUUUUAAAAAAAAGUUAAGGAUUUCUUUCUCUUCUUUUUCAUAUUUAAUAUUCAGUUACUUAAGAUAACCACCUAGGGGAGUAGUUAACAAUACCCUUCCAGCUCCCUAAAAAGUAGUUAUGAGAGGUCUCUACACAAUGUUAACUUUAAGAAAGGGAGCUACUUUUCAAUUGGAAAUUUGAAAUUACUCUUCCUCAAUAAGAACUCAGACAAGUGAUAGUUAUUAAAAUAUAUACUUGAGCUACAUUAACUUUGAGGAGUAAAUACCAUCCAUACAUGUUAUUCACAGGUUGAGAUGCUGUUUUUCUUUUCUUAAUGUGUUAGUACAAAAGAAAAUCAUAGCUUCCCUCCUCUUACCUGCAGCAAAAGAAAAAACAGAACCUGAAAAUCCCUAUGCAUAUAUGAUUUGCUUUGUUGAAGAGAUUUCUCUUUGUUUUCUAUUAAGCUAAAAUAAACUAAAACAUGAGGAAUGAAAAAGUAAUGACUUGUCAUACUUAGAGAUAUGUUUUAAUAACUGUUACUGGAAGAAGAUAAAUACCUUGUCAAACAUUUUAACAACUUUCUUGCCUACUCCUUGUUUAUGUAUGUUUUCUUAUUUGUAUUAUUUUACUCAGGAAAUCCUUAUAUUGACUUCAAAUGUAUACACACACACAAAAUUACUAUUAUUUGCUAAUGUUUUUUAAUAGAAAUAAAUGUUAUAUUUCAUCAAAAGCUUUUUCUGAAUCUUUUGAUAUAGUAGCAUGGUUUUUAUUGUUCUUGACUAAUUGAAUUGACUAAUAUAGUCAAUUAUGUUUAUACUUUUUGUAAUAUUGAAGUAAUCCUGUAUUCCUAUGGUAUAUAUAUUGCUAUAGUCAUCUUGCUAAUAUUUCAUUAAAAAUUUUUGCAUCAAUUUUCAUUAGGGAUAUUGUUCUAUGGUUUUUUCUCUGUUUUGACUCUCUCUUCUUUUGGUAUUAAGACCA
Long non-coding RNA from Sarcophilus harrisii (Tasmanian devil), 2990 nucleotides. Lineage: Eukaryota; Metazoa; Chordata; Mammalia; Dasyuromorphia; Dasyuridae. The record is from Ensembl.